AUCUAGUGCCUGGAAAACAGGGUUAAAGUACUUUUAGCUUAACUUAGGUUGAAGAUAAAGAACAAUGUUUGUGUUUUAAGUGUGUGGUGAGAUGACAGGAUUUAGUGGCCCCACUAAACAUGAGUGAAUUAUUUCACACCAUCCUUCUACUUACCAGUUAGUUUGGAGACAGUGCCUCCAGAGCAUCUGCUAGCUUGGGAUACUCAUCUGCCCAUCCUGUUUUGCUUGCGAUAAAUUUUGUAUGAAGGUCACACCGUUCUAAAUCUUUACCAGCUAUCAGGAACUUGCAGAUAUGGCUGGUUUCAGCUAAUUUGUGAUUACUGGGGCAUCCAACUGUGCCAAAGGUGAAAAGUGCACCCUGAGGAAGACUGCUUACUUCAUCUUGAAGACCCCUGCCCACGACCAUCGGAGGGCAGUGUACAAGCGCCAAAAGCGAGGAGACUUAUGAGUACCUAAACUAACUGUAUUAUCCCUGCCGAACUCUUGGGAACCUAAUGAAUAUGCAUGUUUGUGUGUAAUAAAUAUCUGCUUGCUUAACCCCUCGGUGUGCAAGUUAGGAGGAGCAAUCCCCCUUGUACCCGGCGCUGUAAUAAACAUACCUGCUUUAUAACUCUC
This is a long non-coding RNA of Pezoporus flaviventris, 615 nucleotides long. RefSeq lists it as uncharacterized. The transcript is spliced from 2 exons. The record is from RefSeq and is a predicted model, not a curated record. Lineage: Eukaryota; Metazoa; Chordata; Aves; Psittaciformes; Psittacidae.